Molecule: ribosomal RNA, 127 nt
Filed under: Rubrobacter sp.
Lineage: Bacteria; Bacillati; Actinomycetota; Rubrobacteria; Rubrobacterales; Rubrobacteraceae
Description: partial 23S ribosomal RNA
Rfam family: Bacterial large subunit ribosomal RNA
Source: RNAcentral
AAGUUCCGACCUGCACGAAUGGCGUAACGAUUUGGGCGCUGUCUCAACCAGGGACUCGGCGAAAUUGCAGUACGAGUAAAGAUGCUCGUUACCCGCGGAAGGACGGAAAGACCCUAGGACCUUUACU